Molecule: ribosomal RNA, 1319 nt
Filed under: metagenome
Description: bacterial LSU rRNA
Rfam family: Bacterial large subunit ribosomal RNA
Source: RNAcentral
AGUGGAUGGGGAGCAACCUAGUUGUGCGUGUGUAAAGGUAGUGCCAAGAAAAGCGAUGAUCAUGUUGAAAAUCAAUUCCCGGUACCCGAAACCGACACAGGUGGGCAAGUAGAGAAUACUAAGGGGCGCGAGGUAACUCUCUCCAAGGAACUCGGCAAAAUGACCCCGUAACUUAGGGAGAAGGGGUGCCACCGAGAGGUGGUCGCAGUGGAGAGGCCCAGGCGACUGUUUAGCAAAAACAUAGGUCUCUGCAAACUCGAAAGAGGAGGUAUAGGGGCUGACGCCUGCCCAGUGCCGGAAGGUUAAAGAAGUUGGUCAGUUUUAGGAUGAAGCUAGCGACUGAAGCCCCGGUGAACGGCGGCCGUAACUAUAACGGUCCUAAGGUAGCGAAAUUCCUUGUCGGGUAAGUUCCGACCCGCACGAAAGGCGUAACGAUCUGGGCGCUGUCUCGGAGAGAGGCUCGGCGAAAUAGGAUUGUCUGUGAAGAUACGGACUACCUGCAUUUGGACAGAAAGACCCUAUGAAGCUUUACUAUAGCUUGGAAUUGUGUUCGGGCUUCCUGUGCGCAGGAUAGGUGGGAGGCGUAGAAGGUAUUCUUGUGGGGAUACUGGAGCCAACGGUGAGAUACCACUCUCAGGAGGCUAGAAUUCUAACUUAAUUAAGGACAGUUUCAGGUGGGUAGUUUGACUGGGGCGGUCGCCUCCAAAAAGGUAACGGAGGCGUACAAAGGUUCCCUCAGACUGGUUGGAAAUCAGUCGAAGAGUGCAAAGGCAGAAGGGAGCUUGACUGCGAGAAGUACAGUUCGAGCAGGGUGGAAACACGGUCUUAGUGAUCCGACGGUGCUGUGUGGAAGGGCCGUCGCUCAACGGAUAAAAGUUACUCUAGGAUAACAGGCUGAUCUCCCCCAAGAGUUCACAUCGACGGGGAGGUUUGGCACCUCGAUGUCGGCUCAUCGCAACCUGGGGCGGAAGUACGUCCCAAGGGUUGGGCUGUUCGCCCAUUAGAGCGGUACGUGAGCUGGGUUCAGAACGUCGUGAGACAGUUCGGUCCAUAUCCGAUGUAGGCGUGAGAAUAUUGAGAGGAGCCUUCCUUAGUACGAGAGGACCGGGAAGGACGCACCGCUGGUGUACCUGUUAUGAUGCCAAUUGUAAACGCAGGGUAGCCAAGUGCGGAGAGGAUAACCGCUGAAAGCAUCUAAGUGGGAAGCCCACCUCAAGAUGAGUAUUCUGGUGUAAGGUCACGGGAAGACGACCCGUAAAUAGGCACGAGGUGGAAGUGCAGAGAUGUAUGAAGCCGAAGUGUACUAAUAGACCGUCGGC